This 250-nucleotide ribosomal RNA is filed under the name uncultured bacterium. RNAcentral's name for it is "partial 16S ribosomal RNA". It matches the Rfam family "Bacterial small subunit ribosomal RNA", at positions 525 to 774 of the family's 1533-position model. The record is from RNAcentral.
ACGUAGGUGGCAAGCGUUGUCCGGAUUUACUGGGCGUAAAGAGCACGCAGGCGGUCGUUCAAGUCGAGUGUGAAAGCCCCCGGCUCAACUGGGGAGGGUCACUCGAUACUGAUCGACUCGAAGGCGGGAGAGGGAAGCGGAAUUCCCGGUGUAGUGGUGAAAUGCGUAGAUAUCGGGAGGAACACCAGUGGCGAAGGCGGCUUCCUGGCCCGUUCUUGACGCUCAUGUGCGAAAGCUAGGGGAGCAAGCG